CACUCAGCACUGCUGCAGUAUCCCUGCUCCUCACUCUCUGACCUUCCACAGGCACCAUGCAAGCAUUUGUUCCAAGGUCAUACCUGACACCGGUGAGGGAUGAAGAAGCGGAGUCUCAGAGGAAAGCGAAGUCUCGUCAUGCCAGACAGACCCGGAGGUCAACACAGGGCGUGACUCUGACAGACCUUAAAGAGGCUCAGAAGACCACCGGAGCGUCUCCAGCUGAGAGACAGACAG
This is a long non-coding RNA of Notothenia coriiceps (black rockcod), 237 nucleotides long. RefSeq lists it as uncharacterized. Lineage: Eukaryota; Metazoa; Chordata; Actinopteri; Perciformes; Nototheniidae. The transcript is spliced from 3 exons. The record is from RefSeq and is a predicted model, not a curated record.